RNAcentral lists this long non-coding RNA (428 nucleotides) under Panax ginseng (ginseng). Its description in RNAcentral is "long non-coding RNA (PGIN_LNC004153)". The record is from RNAcentral. Lineage: Eukaryota; Viridiplantae; Streptophyta; Magnoliopsida; Apiales; Araliaceae.
CAAAUUUAGGUACUUGAAACCCAAACUCGGUGCUUCACGAUACCAUUUCUAUGAGCGGAAUAAUACUAAUAAUAAUAACAAUAAUAUAAAAAUCAAACUUAAUUUACAUAAAUCAGAGUCUAAUCUCAAGUACGCAACCUUUACUAUAAUUCCUUACAUGAUAGAUAAUACAUAUCAUUGUUUUCAUACCGUUUAACUAUUACAAAAGAUACCAUUAAACAUAUUCUGUUUGUUUUCCUUUUUUCUUGUUUCUGCAUGAUCCUUCAGAAUGAUCACGAUUGGCUGAAAAUAUUUAAAUUAAGCAAGGAUAAGCAUUUGAGUGCUGAGCAAGUAAUAGCAAUUAUAAUUAUAUUUAGCUGAAAGGAUUAAAUAUUUUAUUUAUAAAUCACUUCUACAACGAUUCAAUAGUUGUGAAGUAAACUGAUCCG